UGCCUGGUGCCUUGCCAAUGUAGCUCUGCUUCCUUGGAUCUUGAUACGUCAAUAUUUAGAAUGGAGUGUGCAGUCAUGAAGUAAAAAUAGCAAACAGUCUGCACAAAAGGAACUGUCUUCAGUAAGUGUAUCAUAUAAACAGUAAAUCUUGCAGUGUGCUUACAGCCAGCUAACAGAAGCUUAUGCAAAUAUUCCAGCUGGCAAAUUGAAAACCUGUCAUGAGUGUCUAAUGAAGAAGGAAAAAACAGAGAAGAAUUAAUUUGUUAAGAAUAAUUUCAUCAAGCAGCAAAUGCCAAAGUUUGUCAAAUUGUAUUCUGAAUUUGAUUAUUUCCUGGAGAAAAGUGCCAGUUUGUAACGGGGGAUGGUUUUCAAACAUCCUAAGUAAAGAUAUGAACUACAUGCCAAUUAUUCUUAGGAAGCUCAGAGCAAGCAAAGUUGGCCAUACAUUACCUUGUGAUUUCAGCCAUCAUAGGACUGCCAUUUUCCAGGAGAGCCCAGGAGAGUCUUCCUCCCUCCGGGUAUUAUCUCCAAAGUUGUAGCUAUGGGGAGGGGCAAUAUGAGAGCCUUGCUUCUGCAGCUGCUGAUACCAUCUGGCUUGGCUCUCGCUGUGUCUUAUCGUGGACCUGGUUUGGAUGACUGCACCCUCUUCAGACUUUGGAUUGAAUUUGACCUGGCUUCUGUCUACGCUCCCUGACUGAUGACUACUCCCGGCUUCUGACUUCUGGAAUUUGCUGCUGCCUCUCGACCUGACCUUGGAUUCUCCUGACGACGGCUAUUCAUCAUCCCUUUGAAGCUUCGGCUUUAUCUGCACCGUGGAAGCAGUUUACUGCUCUUCUAGUUUGUUUGUUUUUAAGCCAGUUUGCUGUUUUUCUUUUGGGAACUGUCCCUUUAACACCGCAGAGCCGGCUGUCUGUUUUCAGAAACGGUUUGAAAAUAAAAUAAGCUUUUGCACUUUCUGUUAUACUCUGCAGCUUUUGGAAGGUUGCAAGCCUUCGUUUAUUUUGCAUGUUAUCUUGCAGUCAACUCUAUUUGUUUCUCCAAAGCUGAAUUGAAGCGUACUUAGUUUUUAUUGAAUGCCAGCAUGGGAAAAUAGCAUGGCUUGUUUUUGUGUUAUUUUUUACUUAUCUUCAGAAUAAACUCUGUUUUGUUUGUUAACUGGCGUCUGACUCUUGACAGGUAUAGUUCAAUAUAGUAAUAUAUAAUGCUAAUGUGUUAUGCUAAUAAUAUAAUAUAUUGUAUGUACAUACAGCUGCUCUGAGUCCCCUUCGGGGUAAGAAGGGUGGGAUAUAAAUGUAGUAAAUAAACACAGUAAAUAAAUAAUUAA
This is a long non-coding RNA of Anolis carolinensis (green anole), 1324 nucleotides long. RefSeq lists it as uncharacterized. The transcript has 3 exons. NCBI's taxonomy places the organism in Eukaryota, Metazoa, Chordata, Lepidosauria, Squamata, Anolidae. The record is from RefSeq and is a predicted model, not a curated record.